AGUGAAAAUUUCUUCACCGUUGUAGUCAGUUCAUUUCGGAAAGAAAGCGGAUAAAUUAAAGCUCUAAAAUUUUUUACCAUAAAAUUUGGUUAAAGUUUUGGUUCAGAAAAAAUUGAAAAAAAUUAUUGAAUUUAUUACAAAAUAAAAAAAUUAUUUAAAAGUUGAAAAAGCGUUACAAUUUCGCUUUAGUUUAAACGCAAAAUCUAAAUUGAUUCGACAGUCGAAAAAUCGAAAAAAAAACUACGAAAAAUUCUGUAUCAGCAGUAGGUACACGCGCACGCACCUACUUACAUACAGCCGCACAAGAAAUAGUAGUAGUACUAGUGCCUACUAAUAUAACGGCAACAGAGAGAGUGUGUAUAUGCGAUAAAGAGCAAGCGAGUGCGUGAGUGAUAAGCGAACAACGUGAGCACAACCCCAAAAAAGUUGUCGUAAAGAAGAGUAAAAAACGCGUUGCUACAACGAAAAUUAAAAAAAAAAAAUUAAAUAAAAAAACCAAAAAAAAAUUCUUGUUGAAG
Rhagoletis zephyria (snowberry fruit fly) is the source of this 518-nucleotide long non-coding RNA. RefSeq lists it as uncharacterized. The record is from RefSeq and is a predicted model, not a curated record. NCBI's taxonomy places the organism in Eukaryota, Metazoa, Arthropoda, Insecta, Diptera, Tephritidae.